Molecule: long non-coding RNA, 914 nt
Filed under: Pongo abelii (Sumatran orangutan)
Lineage: Eukaryota; Metazoa; Chordata; Mammalia; Primates; Hominidae
Description: lincRNA
Source: RNAcentral
GCCAGGGAGAGAUCCCAGCAGAGAGAGGCUGGGCAUGAAGGGAUGGGGUGAUGGUAUGUCAAUUAGGCUCCAGCUCCUGCUCCAGGGCCCUUUCAUGGAGGCUUGUUUCCUAGGUCCUCUCCCAAGGACACCCUCUCCAUGCUCUCAACCGCAUCCUUCCCUGAGUCUCAGGCUCAGACUACAGUCUAUGGUCUACAGCUUCCCUCUCCCCGAGUCCCAACCCCAGUUUUCUCAGUUCCUGGCUGCAAUGGUCCUAGGCCCUCCACUCAAUUUCCAAACCUUUUGCCUGGUGCCACCUUCUCUACCCAGAACUUUGGCCUACCUGUCAAUCCUGCCCUGCAUGUCACCUCAGCCUGGAAGUCCAUAGGACUGUGAUGAAGACGACUGCUUGCAUUUUCUGAAUCACUUUGUCGAUGAGACAUGCAUCCUAUUAGAGCUAACAAAGCUUCACAGAAAGGUUGUUUUGAAGUUGACACUGAGGAAGAUAUAGGUGCUCUAGGAUCAGUAUGUGAGGCUGCCACUAACAUGCUGUAGUUUGCACAUUCUUUCAGAGAGGUUGCAGAGUCUGCUUGGGAGAGAAGCCUCAAAAACAUGACUGGUGUCUUGGCAGAGUUUGCUCUGGUCCACAGGAGGGUGUACAAACAGGCUUCAUGAGAAGGUGACUUGCUGGCCACUCUUAACCACUAGAAGAAAUUGAUGCCAUGGAACUUUGAAAAAUCAGAAAGCAAUUCCACAAAAGAUGAACCUCUGAAGAUAGUAGAGCCCAAUGAAGACAAAUGACAUCGCCCAUAGGAGGAAAACAGUGGUAUCAACCUAUAGGGGCUCACUGCUCUAUGUGCUGGAAGCCAAUAAUAUGACAAUGGGUUUUUGAGAAAAUAAAAGCUUUGCAUUGAGAUUCAACCCCUAGAUGAGAU